RNAcentral lists this transfer RNA (63 nucleotides) under Eophreatoicus karrkkanj. RNAcentral's name for it is "tRNA-Gly". Lineage: Eukaryota; Metazoa; Arthropoda; Malacostraca; Isopoda; Amphisopidae. The record is from RNAcentral.
AACUCUUUAGUAUAAAUAAUGUAUAUUUGGUUUCCAACCAAGAGGUCUAAGUUAGAGGGGUUA